ACGUACGCUGGCGGCACGCCUAACACAUGCAAGUCGAACGAAGUAGCAAUACUUAGUGGCAGACGGGUGAGUAACAUGUAGGUAUCUGCCCUUUGGCCUGGAAUAACACGAGGAAACUUGUGCUAAUACCGGAUAAGUCUUUACGGAGAAAGCUUUAUGCACCAUUGGAUGAGCCUGCACUUGAUUAGUUUGUUGGUGGGGUAAUGGCCUACCAAGACUGUGAUCAAUAGCUGAUUUGAGAGGAUGAUCAGCCACAUUGGGACUGAGACACGGCCCAAACUCCUACGGGAGGCAGCAGUGGGGAAUCUUGCACAAUGGAGGAAACUCUGAUGCAGCGAUGCCGCGUGAGUGAAGAAGGCCCUUGGGUUGUAAAGCUCUUUCGUCGGGGAAGAAAAUGACUGUACCCGAAUAAGAAGGUCCGGCUAACUUCGUGCCAGCAGCCGCGGUAAUACGAAGGGACCUAGCGUAGUUCGGAAUUACUGGGCUUAAAGAGUUCGUAGGUGGUUGAAAAAGUUAGUGGUGAAAUCCCAGAGCUUAACUCUGGAACUGCCAUUAAAACUUUUCAGCUAGAGUAUGAUAGAGGAAAGCAGAAUUUCUAGUGUAGAGGUGAAAUUCGUAGAUAUUAGAAAGAAUACCAAUUGCGAAGGCAGCUUUCUGGAUCAUUACUGACACUGAGGAACGAAAGCAUGGGUAGCGAAGAGGAUUAGAUACCCUCGUAGUCCAUGCCGUAAACGAUGUGUGUUAGACGUUGGAAAUUUAUUUUCAGUGUCGCAGGGAAACCGAUAAACACACCGCCUGGGGAGUACGACCGCAAGGUUAAAACUCAAAUGAAUUGACGGGGACCCGCACAAGUAGUGGAGCAUGUGGUUUAAUUCGAAGAUACGCGCAGAACCUUACCAACACUUGACAUGUUCGUCGCGACUCUAAGAGAUUAGAGUUUUCGGUUCGGCCGGACGAAACACAGGUGCUGCAUGGCUGUCGUCAGCUCGUGUCGUGAGAUGUUGGGUUAAGUCCCGCAACGAGCGCAACCCUCACUUUUAGUUGCCAUCAUUAAGUUGGGCACUCUGAAAGAACUGCCAGUGAUAAGCUGGAGGAAGGUGGGGAUGACGUCAAGUCCUCAUGGCCCUUACGUGUUGGGCUACACACGUGCUACAAUGGUAUCUACAACAGGAAGCAAGACUGCGAAGUUAAGCAAAUCCCUAAAAGAUACCUCAGUUCGGAUUGCACUCUGCAACUCGAGUGCAUGAAGCUGGAAUUACUAGUAAUCGUGGAUCAGCGUGCCACGGUGAAUGCGUUCCCGGGUCUUGUACACACCGCCCGUCAAGGG
RNAcentral lists this ribosomal RNA (1327 nucleotides) under uncultured Alphaproteobacteria bacterium. RNAcentral describes it as "bacterial SSU rRNA". It matches the Rfam family "Bacterial small subunit ribosomal RNA", at positions 29 to 1403 of the family's 1533-position model. The record is from RNAcentral. Lineage: Bacteria; Pseudomonadati; Pseudomonadota; Alphaproteobacteria.